Long non-coding RNA from Cebus imitator (Panamanian white-faced capuchin), 917 nucleotides. RefSeq lists it as uncharacterized. The record is from RefSeq and is a predicted model, not a curated record. The transcript has 4 exons. NCBI's taxonomy places the organism in Eukaryota, Metazoa, Chordata, Mammalia, Primates, Cebidae.
UACAAAGAUAGAAGAAAAGGAAAACAACUAUGACCAAUAUUAUAUUGCUACAGUCUGAUUUUCUUUUCACAUUUUUGUCAUUUCUUUAUAUUCUUCAUAGGUUUAGUUGUAUGUCUCUGUGUUUGUUUGUAUACCUCUGAAUGAUUAACUUAUGGUUCUCUAAAUGUGUAUUCAUUUUACCUUUGAAAAGAUGAGUAGCAUAUCAUGAUGCAUUUUAUAUUAGUAUACAUAUCUCAAAACACACAUAACUUUUGAAUCUAUAAAACGUUUUGUAUUUGGUUAAAAUGUAGGUAAUGUCAAGCAAUAUUUGUUUACAAAAUGUGUCUGAUUUAUAAUGGGAUUUGGAUAAGAAAAGAUGCUUUCGUUUGGGUUUGUCAACCUUAUGGCCCUGAUGGUUACUCAGAGGAGACAGAUUUUAUCUUAGAAGGGGGUAUUUGCUAACUAGGAUUGAAAGCAUCAUGGUGGUGGCAUGCUCCCAUAUUACCACUUGAAAUUCAUUGCUGGCUGAUCUACAGAGCAGCUUUGAUUGCAGUUUUACCAAGCCAGAUUCCUGCUGUCCUGGCUGCAAGGGCCAUUUGUAUGAAUUUUGCAACAUUUAAUGGGAUCUCAUACAUGGAGAUCUUAUACAAGUUAGUGUUUUAUGCAAUGUUAUCAUCUGAAAAUAUUUUUCCUAAUAUCAAAGUCUGAAACCUAAAAUCAGGUUUCUACCUGUGUCCAAGAAGAGCAAGACAUUUGAAGAAAGUUUCCAACAUGCCAGUGUGAAACUACAAUCAAUACACAGAAAAUUUCUGUCCUCGUGGAGUAUAUAUUUCAGAAGAAUCAGAAGUAACUGCCUAAUGUUUUCAAGUCAUUGAUGUAGGAAGAGAACUAGGAGAAAGAAACAGUGAUGGAGGAGGAAAAUCUAUGGAUUAUCAUGU